UGGAAAUGUGGUUUGGAUGGGAUAAGCAAC
RNAcentral lists this non-coding RNA (30 nucleotides) under Rattus norvegicus (Norway rat). The record is from RNAcentral. Lineage: Eukaryota; Metazoa; Chordata; Mammalia; Rodentia; Muridae.